AGAAGAAACAACAAAUCUGGAGAGUAUGUGCGAACCAACAUGCAGAAGUUUGGUGAGGGGGCUACUGCGGGGUGUACCAUCCACCCCAACACAGGAGACAUCGGUGUCAGAUAAAAAGGAGGGGUCAGGCAGGUCUUGUUCUCUGAGAACACUACGGGCUGCACCUGUGUCAACUAGGAAGGUAGUUGGAUGUCCCUCUACGGGGAGAACUACAGUAGCUAAGGGCCCUCCCCUGCAGACACUGCCAUGGCAGGGGUCGCUGACACAGGCUUGCCGGUUACCUAUUGCAAUAAAUCUAAAUGGGCCUGGUCGGGACCUU
Molecule: non-coding RNA, 319 nt
Organism: Pelobates cultripes (western spadefoot toad)
Lineage: Eukaryota; Metazoa; Chordata; Amphibia; Anura; Pelobatidae
Source: the annotation of a GenBank genome assembly